GCGACCGUGCUGGCCGCGUUCAGCAACAAGCUGCUCUCGUCCCCGGAGACCAGAGGGCUUCUCCCCAGGAAGUGCGGGGGACAGCGCGCGGCGAGGAUGGGCACCAGCCCCUGUCCCUGGGGCGCACGGCACGCGCUGGAGAGAGACAAUGGCAGGACGGCGGCGCGUACGUACAUGAUCUCAAAUCCAAGGGCAGGGCGGCGACUCGGAGAAAAGCAGCGGCUCACGGCUUCGCGGGGCCCCCGGGCGGCGAGUUCACCCGCAAUCCGCUCAUCCCCGGCCGCGUCCCCCUCGCGCGCCUCCACCGCGGCGGGGCCGACGCAGAGCGGGGCCGGGGCCGCGCCAGCCAGCGAGCGAGCCGGGGACCAGGGCGGGCUAGCGGGCGGGGGAUAAGCUGCCGCUACUCAGGGAGUGCCCGGGAACAUCGCCGGGCGCGGGACCGCCGCACAGCCCCAAGUGGACGCAGCUGACCGCAGUCCCCUCUCCGCCGCGCCUCCUCGGCUGGCAGCUGUCGCCUCCUGCUGCCGCUGCCGCUGCUCCUCCUCCUCUAAGCAGAGAAGGGGGGUCGGGGAGAUCGGGGCCUCCGCCCCCUCAGCGGACCGGGCGCAGCACGUGCCAGCCCCGGGGGUCGGGCGGAUGCGGGGGACGCGCUCCCCGCGGAGGCCCCGGGAGCUCCGGUGGCGGCGGCUGGACACAAAGGAGCCGCCCGCGCGGGGCGCCGCGGAAUAUAAAUUAAUAAAUACAACGCCCCAGCCCGAGAGCUCCCAGCCGCCAAUCCGCCUGCAGCAAGUUUGUUCAACUCGCAAGGCCGUAACCAGAGCCAGGAAAGGGGGGUGGGGCGAUGGGGCCCCCGCUCACUCCGGACUGGAAAAAGGAGGUUAGGGAAGCUAGGGAUUCCAGCCCGAGUGCCGCCCCAGCAACCCGAUUUCCCCCCCUCUUGGCCUUGACCGAAAGUGCUUUACCACGUCUGCCGCUUUCUCAUUUGUCAACAUGCGCUACAGCUGUUUUCUAAAAUCAUACUUGUGAGAAAAAAUAAAGGCAACAUUCAUGCUGCU
RNAcentral lists this long non-coding RNA (1055 nucleotides) under Homo sapiens (human). RNAcentral's name for it is "long non-coding RNA NONHSAT204479.1". The record is from RNAcentral. Lineage: Eukaryota; Metazoa; Chordata; Mammalia; Primates; Hominidae.